GGGCCAAACAGGAGCACCUGUCAGGAGAGACGCACUCUGGCAGGCCAGGUGGUCUGACAAACGUUGAGCAGCUCCUGCACCAGCUAAGUCACCAGCCACCAGCCACCGACCCUACGGGAGCUGAGGGUGUCUCAGUCACCCUGGGACCUGGCACAGCUCUCUCUGCCUUGGGGUCCGCCUACACCUGAGUGGUAUUAACAAGUGCUGCCGCAACUUGCUUGCUAACCGCCCUUGGGAACAAACUCCAGGGCUGUUUUGCAGGUAAGCACCCUUUUCCAAGGUGCCAAGCCUCCGGAGAGGCCUGGUUAAACCUGGGCGGCGGGCCCAUCAGUGACAAGGGCUAGAAAGCCAAUCCCACUCGCGGGACCGUGGGGAAUCUAGGAAGAAGCUGUCGAGGGGGCCUUCCAUUCCCACAGAGGGCCAGAAAGCAAAAGACACACAGUUUGUCCGCUGAGCCCACCCACCAGGCAGGUUUGCUAAGGAGUUAAGGGCUGAGAAGCCCGGGGCCCUCCAGAUAGUCCAGCCUCGCCCUCCCGGAUAAAAGGUUACUGCAGGACGGGGGACACGCCACGCACACCUAGCGAGGGGGCCCCAAGCUCUCCUCCGCCCCCGCCCCGCAGUCGGCUGAUUGAGAUGCACGCCCGCCAGGGGCCUCCACUCACCGGUCUCAGAGCCCCCUCAGUCCGCCCAGCGCGGCCAGCACGGACCCAUGGAGCAGAAGGAGAGCCAGGCGUCGCAUGGCCGCUAAGAGAGCGAAGAAACCCAGCCGCGAGGCGCGUGGAUGCAGCCGGCCGGCAGAGCGCACUGGGCGCCCGGGCGGCUUUAACUCCUGUUCCCGUCCCGCACGGGGAACGCUGGCGCAGGUCCCACUCUUUGCAACUCCAUGGGCUGUAACCUGCCAGGAUCUUCUGUCCAUGGGAUUUUCCAGAGGUUCGUGACAUUGUUCAGGAGGCAGUGAUCAAAACCAUCCCCAAGAAAAAGAAAUGCAAAAAGGCAAAAUGGUUGUCUGAGGAGAUCUUACAAAUAACUGAGAAAAGAAGAGAUGCUAAAGGCAAAGGAGAAAAGGAAAGAGUUCCAAAGAAUAGCAAGCAGAGAUAAGAAAGCUUUCCUCAGUGAUCAGUGCAAAGAAAUAGAGAAAAAUAAUAGAAUGGGAAAGACUAGAGAGCUCUUCAAGAAAAUUAGAGAUACUGAGGGAACAUUUCAUGCAAAGAUGGGCACAAUAAAGGACAGAAAUGAUAUGGACCUAACAAAAGCAGAAGAUAUUAAGAACAGGUGGCAAGAAUACACAGAAGAACUGUACAAAAAAGAUCUUCAUAACCCAUAUAACCACAAUGGUGUGAUCACUGACCUAGAGCCAGACAUCCUGGAAUGUGAAGUCAAGUGGGCCUUAGGAAGCAUCACUAUGAACAAAGCUAGUGGAGGUGAUGGAAUUCCAGUUGAGCUAUUUCAAAUCCUAAAAGAUGAUGCUGUGAAAGUGCCACACUCAAUAUGCCAGCAAAUUUGUCAGUGGCCACAGGACUGGGAAAGGUCAGUUUUCAUUCCAAUCCCAAAGAAGGGCAAUGCCAAAGAAUGUUCACAUUACUACACAAUUGCACUCAUCUCACACACUAGCAAAGUAAUGCUCAAAAUUCUCCAAGCCAGGCUUCAACAGUGCAUGAACCAUGAACUUCCAGAUGUUCAAGCUGGAUUUAGAAAAGGCAGAGGAACCAGAGAUAAAUUGCAAAUAUCCAUUGGAUCAUAGAAAAGCAAGAGAAUUUUUUAAAAAAAUCUACUUCUGCUUUAUUCAUUACGCCAAAGCCUUUGACUGUAUAGAUAACAACAAACUGUGGAAAAUUCUGAAAGAGAUGGGAAUACCAGACCACCUGAUCUGCCUCCUGAGAAAUCUGUAUGCAGGUCAAGAAGCAACAGUUAGAACUUGACAUGGAACAACAGACUGGUUCCAAAUUAGGAAAGGAGUACAUCAAGCCUAUAUAUCGCCACCCUGCUUAUUUAACUUAUAUGCAGAGUACAUCAUGCGAAAUGCCAGACUGGAUGAAGCGCAAGCUGGACUCAAGAUUGCUGGAGGAAAUAUCAAUAACCUCAGAUAUGCAGAUGACACCACCCUUAUGGCAGAAAGUGAUGAGGAACUAAAGAGCCUAUUGAUGAAAGUGAAAGAGGACAGCAAAAAAGCUGGCUUAAAAUUCAACAUUCAGAAAACUAAGAUCACGGCAUCUGAUCCCAUCACUCCAUGGCAAAUAGAUGGAGAAACAAUGGAAACAGUAACAGACUUUAUUUUUUUGGGCUCCAAAAUCACUGCAUAUGGUGACUGCAGCCAUGAAAUUAAAAGACACUUACUCCUUGGAAUAAAAGCUAUGACCAACGUAGACAGUAUACUAAAAAGCAGAGACAUUACUUUGCCAACUGUCUGUUUAGUCAAAGCUAUGGUUUUUCCAGUAGUCAUGUAUGGAUGUGAGAGUUGGACUAUAAAGAAAGCUGAGCACUGAAGAAUUGAUGCUUUUGAACUGUGGUGUUGGAGGAGACUCUUGAGAGUCCCUUGGACUGCAAGGAGAUCCAACCAGCCCAUCCUAAAGGAAAUCAGUCCUGAAUAUUCAUUGGAAGGACUGAUGCUGAAGCUGAAGCUCCAAUACUUUGGCCACCUGAUGGGAAGAACUGACUCAUUGGAAAAGACCCUGAUGCUGGGAAAGAUUGAAGGCAGUAGAAGAAGGGGACGACACAGGAUUAGAUGGUUGGAUGGCAUCACGGACUCAAUGGACAUGAGUGUGGGCAAGCUCUGGGAGUUGAUGAUGGACAGGGAAACCUGGCCUGCUGCAGUCCAUGGGGUCGCAGAGUCGGACACGACUGAGUGACUGAACUGAACUGAACCUCCACUUCAGAUGCCUCUUCCCAGGCGGCACAGUGGCCUCCUGCCAAUGCAGGAGGCAUAAGAGAUGCAGGUUUGAUCCCUGAGUUGGGAAGAUCCUUUGGAGGAGGAAAUGGCAACCCAUUCUCGUAUUCUUGUUUGGAAAAUCCCAUGGACAGAGGAGCCUGGCAGGUUACAGUCCAGGGGACUGCAAAAAGGCAGACACAACUGAGCACACACACACAUAUAUUAUGUUUAGGUUUUUAGUGUAUACGACUUUCACCCUUGUGCUUCCAUCUCACUUCCCCACCUCCACCCCCAGCAAGCACUUAGGUACUAAGCAAACACUAAGUUGGUCUCAGUCCAACUCAGGCCUCCUGCCCAAAGGCUGCACUAAUGACAGGCAUGUUUCUGUGGCGGAAUCUCAAAAGCAGCAGGCAACAAUUUAAUUAGCUCCAAGUCAAUAAACCUCCACGAACCCCAGCAAGGCAGUAAAGCAUAAGCCUCACUAGUAAUUAUCAGCAAAAGAUUAUUCAUGUAGAACUAUGAUGCUUAACAUUUGGCAGUAUCUAACAU
Long non-coding RNA from Bos taurus (domestic cattle), 3415 nucleotides. The record is from Ensembl. Lineage: Eukaryota; Metazoa; Chordata; Mammalia; Artiodactyla; Bovidae.